Molecule: ribosomal RNA, 3029 nt
Filed under: Salmonella enterica
Lineage: Bacteria; Pseudomonadati; Pseudomonadota; Gammaproteobacteria; Enterobacterales; Enterobacteriaceae
Description: 23S ribosomal RNA
Rfam family: Bacterial large subunit ribosomal RNA
Source: RNAcentral
GGGUUGUGAGGUUAAGCGACUAAGCGUACACGGUGGAUGCCCUGGCAGUCAGAGGCGAUGAAGGGCGUGCUAAUCUGCGAUAAGCGCCGGUAAGGUGAUAUGAACCGUUAUAACCGGCGAUACCCGAAUGGGGAAACCCAGUGUGAUUCGUCACACUAUCAUUAACUGAAUCCAUAGGUUAAUGAGGCGAACCGGGGGAACUGAAACAUCUAAGUACCCCGAGGAAAAGAAAUCAACCGAGAUUCCCCCAGUAGCGGCGAGCGAACGGGGAGGAGCCCAGAGCCUGAAUCAGCAUGUGUGUUAGUGGAAGCGUCUGGAAAGGCGCGCGAUACAGGGUGACAGCCCCGUACACAAAAGCGCAUGUGCUGUGAGCUCGAUGAGUAGGGCGGGACACGUGGUAUCCUGUCUGAAUAUGGGGGGACCAUCCUCCAAGGCUAAAUACUCCUGACUGACCGAUAGUGAACCAGUACCGUGAGGGAAAGGCGAAAAGAACCCCGGCGAGGGGAGUGAAAAAGAACCUGAAACCGUGUACGUACAAGCAGUGGGAGCCCCACCACCAAAGCAUUCUCUGGUGUUGAAGGCCCUGCAAAGCAGCAUCGCGGUGGCGGAGCGUCGUUUGCGACGCCCAACACACAAAACAAGCGGUGAGUGCUUUGGGGUGGGGUGACUGCGUACCUUUUGUAUAAUGGGUCAGCGACUUAUAUUCUGUAGCAAGGUUAACCGAAUAGGGGAGCCGGAGGGAAACCGAGUCUUAAUUGGGCGUUAAGUUGCAGGGUAUAGACCCGAAACCCGGUGAUCUAGCCAUGGGCAGGUUGAAGGUUGGGUAACACUAACUGGAGGACCGAACCGACUAAUGUUGAAAAAUUAGCGGAUGACCUGUGGCUGGGGGUGAAAGGCCAAUCAAACCGGGAGAUAGCUGGUUCUCCCCGAAAGCUAUUUAGGUAGCGCCUCGUGAAUUCAUCUCCGGGGGUAGAGCACUGUUUCGGCUAGGGGGCCAUCCCGGCUUACCAACCCGAUGCAAACUGCGAAUACCGGAGAAUGUUAUCACGGGAGACACACGGCGGGUGCUAACGUCCGUCGUGAAGAGGGAAACAACCCAGACCGCCAGCUAAGGUCCCAAAGUCAUGGUUAAGUGGGAAACGAUGUGGGAAGGCCCAGACAGCCAGGAUGUUGGCUUAGAAGCAGCCAUCAUUUAAAGAAAGCGUAAUAGCUCACUGGUCGAGUCGGCCUGCGCGGAAGAUGUAACGGGGCUAAACCAUGCACCGAGGCUGCGGCAGCGACGCUGAUGCGUUGUUGGGUAGGGGAUCGUUCUGUAAGCCUGCGAAGGUGGCCUGUGCGGGUUUCUGGCGGUAUCACAAUUGCGAAUGCUGACAUAAGUAACGAUAAAGCGGGUGAAAAGCCCGCUCGCCGGAAGACCAAGGGUUCCUGUCCAACGUUAAUCGGGGCAGGGUGAGUCGACCCCUAAGGCGAGGCCGAAAGGCGUAGUCGAUGGGAAACGGGUUAAUAUUCCCGUACUUGGUGUUACUGCGAAGGGGGGACGGAGAAGGCUAUGUUGGCCGGGCGACGGUUGUCCCGGUUUAAGCGUGUAGGUGUGUGUUCCAGGUAAAUCCGGUUCACUUUAACACUGAGGCGUGAUGACGAGGCACUACGGUGCUGAAGCAACAAAUGCCCUGCUUCCAGGAAAAGCCUCUAAGCAUCAGGUAACAUCAAAUCGUACCCCAAACCGACACAGGUGGUCAGGUAGAGAAUACCAAGGCGCUUGAGAGAACUCGGGUGAAGGAACUAGGCAAAAUGGUGCCGUAACUUCGGGAGAAGGCACGCUGACACGUAGGUGAAGUGAUUUACUCAUGGAGCUGAAGUCAGUCGAAGAUACCAGCUGGCUGCAACUGUUUAUUAAAAACACAGCACUGUGCAAACACGAAAGUGGACGUAUACGGUGUGACGCCUGCCCGGUGCCGGAAGGUUAAUUGAUGGGGUCAGCGCAAGCGAAGCUCCUGAUCGAAGCCCCGGUAAACGGCGGCCGUAACUAUAACGGUCCUAAGGUAGCGAAAUUCCUUGUCGGGUAAGUUCCGACCUGCACGAAUGGCGUAAUGAUGGCCAGGCUGUCUCCACCCGAGACUCAGUGAAAUUGAACUCGCUGUGAAGAUGCAGUGUACCCGCGGCAAGACGGAAAGACCCCGUGAACCUUUACUAUAGCUUGACACUGAACAUUGAGCCUUGAUGUGUAGGAUAGGUGGGAGGCUUUGAAGUGUGGACGCCAGUCUGCAUGGAGCCGACCUUGAAAUACCACCCUUUAAUGUUUGAUGUUCUAACGUGGACCCGUUACCCGGGUUGCGGACAGUGUCUGGUGGGUAGUUUGACUGGGGCGGUCUCCUCCUAAAGAGUAACGGAGGAGCACGAAGGUUGGCUAAUCCUGGUCGGACAUCAGGAGGUUAGUGCAAUGGCAUAAGCCAGCUUGACUGCGAGCGUGACGGCGCGAGCAGGUGCGAAAGCAGGUCAUAGUGAUCCGGUGGUUCUGAAUGGAAGGGCCAUCGCUCAACGGAUAAAAGGUACUCCGGGGAUAACAGGCUGAUACCGCCCAAGAGUUCAUAUCGCCGGCGGUGUUUGGCACCUCGAUGUCGGCUCAUCACAUCCUGGGGCUGAAGCAGGUCCCAAGGGUAUGGCUGUUCGCCAUUUAAAGUGGUACGCGAGCUUGGUUUAGAACGUCGUGAGACAGUUCGGUCCCUUUCUGCCGGGGGCGCUGGAGAACAGAGGGGGGCUGCUCCUAGUACGAGAGGACCGGAGUGGACGCAUCACUGGUGUUCGGGUUGUCAUGCCAAUGGCACUGCCCGGUAGCUAAAUGCGGAAGAGAUAAGUGCUGAAAGCAUCUAAGCACGAAACUUGCCCCGAGAUGAGUUCUCCCUGAGACUUUAAGUCUCCUGAAGGAACGUUGAAGACGACGACGUUGAUAGGCCGGGUGUGUAAGCGCAGCGAUGCGUUGAGCUAACCGGUACUAAUGAACCGUGAGGCUUAACCUUACAACGCCGAAG